UCUUCCGUAGUAUAGUGGUUAGUAUAUGAGCUUGUCACUUCAAACGCAGCAACGCUCGGGACCCGGGUUCAAUUCCCGGCGGGAGAG
This is a non-coding RNA of Cladorrhinum sp. PSN332, 87 nucleotides long. The record is from the annotation of a GenBank genome assembly. NCBI's taxonomy places the organism in Eukaryota, Fungi, Ascomycota, Sordariomycetes, Sordariales, Podosporaceae.